GUUUUCAAUUUAACAGCACAUAUACUAGAAUCAGACUGACAUGGAGAAGAUUAUGAUGUCGCCUGCACAAGGAUGACAUUCAAAAUCCUGAAUUGUUUAAUAUUUUU
This is a small nuclear RNA of Octodon degus (degu), 107 nucleotides long. The record is from Ensembl. Lineage: Eukaryota; Metazoa; Chordata; Mammalia; Rodentia; Octodontidae.